This 468-nucleotide ribosomal RNA is filed under the name uncultured bacterium. Its description in RNAcentral is "partial 16S ribosomal RNA". It matches the Rfam family "Bacterial small subunit ribosomal RNA", at positions 28 to 507 of the family's 1533-position model. The record is from RNAcentral.
GACGACCGCUGGCGGCGUGCUUAACACAUGCAAGUCGAACGGAAAGGCCCUGCUUUUGUGGGGUGCUCGAGUGGCGAACGGGUGAGUAACACGUGAGUAACCUGCCCUUGACUUUGGGAUAACUUCAGGAAACUGGGGCUAAUACCGGAUAGGAGCUCCUGCUGCAUGGUGGGGGUUGGAAAGUUUCGGCGGUUGGGGAUGGACUCGCGGCUUAUCAGCUUGUUGGUGGGGUAGUGGCUUACCAAGGCUUUGACGGGUAGCCGGCCUGAGAGGGUGACCGGCCACAUUGGGACUGAGAUACGGCCCAGACUCCUACGGGAGGCAGCAGUGGGGAAUAUUGCACAAUGGGCGGAAGCCUGAUGCAGCAACGCCGCGUGCGGGACGACGGCCUUCGGGUUGUAAACCGCUUUCGCCUGUGACGAAGCGUGAGUGACGGUAAUGGGUAAAGAAGCACCGGCUAACUACGUG